AGACCCGAAACCCGGUGAUCUAGCCAUGGGCAGGUUGAAGGUUGGGUAACACUAACUGGAGGACCGAACCGACUAAUGUUGAAAAAUUAGCGGAUGACCUGUGGCUGGGGGUGAAAGGCCAAUCAAACCGGGAGAUAGCUGGUUCUCCCCGAAAGCUAUUUAGGUAGCGCCUCGUGAAUUCAUCUCCGGGGGUAGAGCACUGUUUCGGCUAGGGGGCCAUCCCGGCUUACCAACCCGAUGCAAACUGCGAAUACCGGAGAAUGUUAUCACGGGAGACACACGGCGGGUGCUAACGUCCGUCGUGAAGAGGGAAACAACCCAGACCGCCAGCUAAGGUCCCAAAGUCAUGGUUAAGUGGGAAACGAUGUGGGAAGGCCCAGACAGCCAGGAUGUUGGCUUAGAAGCAGCCAUCAUUUAAAGAAAGCGUAAUAGCUCACUGGUCGAGUCGGCCUGCGCGGAAGAUGUAACGGGGCUAAACCAUGCACCGAAGCUGCGGCAGCGACACUGUGUGUUGUUGGGUAGGGGAGCGUUCUGUAAGCCUGUGAAGGUGGCCUGUGAGGGUUGCUGGAGGUAUCAGAAGUGCGAAUGCUGACAUAAGUAACGAUAAAGCGGGUGAAAAGCCCGCUCGCCGGAAGACCAAGGGUUCCUGUCCAACGUUAAUCGGGGCAGGGUGAGUCGACCCCUAAGGCGAGGCCGAAAGGCGUAGUCGAUGGGAAACGGGUUAAUAUUCCCGUACUUGGUGUUACUGCGAAGGGGGGACGGAGAAGGCUAUGUUGGCCGGGCGACGGUUGUCCCGGUUUAAGCGUGUAGGUGUGUGUUCCAGGUAAAUCCGGUUCACUUUAACACUGAGGCGUGAUGACGAGGCACUACGGUGCUGAAGCAACAAAUGCCCUGCUUCCAGGAAAAGCCUCUAAGCAUCAGGUAACAUCAAAUCGUACCCCAAACCGACACAGGUGGUCAGGUAGAGAAUACCAAGGCGCUUGAGAGAACUCGGGUGAAGGAACUAGGCAAAAUGGUGCCGUAACUUCGGGAGAAGGCACGCUGACACGUAGGUGAAGUGAUUUACUCACGGAGCUGAAGUCAGUCGAAGAUACCAGCUGGCUGCAACUGUUUAUUAAAAACACAGCACUGUGCAAACACGAAAGUGGACGUAUACGGUGUGACGCCUGCCCGGUGCCGGAAGGUUAAUUGAUGGGGUCAGCGCAAGCGAAGCUCCUGAUCGAAGCCCCGGUAAACGGCGGCCGUAACUAUAACGGUCCUAAGGUAGCGAAAUUCCUUGUCGGGUAAGUUCCGACCUGCACGAAUGGCGUAAUGAUGGCCAGGCUGUCUCCACCCGAGACUCAGUGAAAUUGAACUCGCUGUGAAGAUGCAGUGUACCCGCGGCAAGACGGAAAGACCCCGUGAACCUUUACUAUAGCUUGACACUGAACAUUGAGCCUUGAUGUGUAGGAUAGGUGGGAGGCUUUGAAGUGUGGACGCCAGUCUGCAUGGAGCCGACCUUGAAAUACCACCCUUUAAUGUUUGAUGUUCUAACGUGGACCCGUAAUCCGGGUUGCGGACAGUGUCUGGUGGGUAGUUUGACUGGGGCGGUCUCCUCCUAAAGAGUAACGGAGGAGCACGAAGGUUGGCUAAUCCUGGUCGGACAUCAGGAGGUUAGUGCAAUGGCAUAAGCCAGCUUGACUGCGAGCGUGACGGCGCGAGCAGGUGCGAAAGCAGGUCAUAGUGAUCCGGUGGUUCUGAAUGGAAGGGCCAUCGCUCAACGGAUAAAAGGUACUCCGGGGAUAACAGGCUGAUACCGCCCAAGAGUUCAUAUCGACGGCGGUGUUUGGCACCUCGAUGUCGGCUCAUCACAUCCUGGGGCUGAAGUAGGUCCCAAGGGUAUGGCUGUUCGCCAUUUAAAGUGGUACGCGAGCUGGGUUUAGAACGUCGUGAGACAGUUCGGUCCCUAUCUGCCGUGGGCGCUGGAGAACUGAGGGGGGCUGCUCCUAGUACGAGAGGACCGGAGUGGACGCAUCACUGGUGUUCGGGUUGUCAUGCCAAUGGCACUGCCCGGUAGCUAAAUGCGGAAGAGAUAAGUGCUGAAAGCAUCUAAGCACGAAACUUGCCCCGA
Molecule: ribosomal RNA, 2110 nt
Filed under: Salmonella enterica subsp. enterica
Lineage: Bacteria; Pseudomonadati; Pseudomonadota; Gammaproteobacteria; Enterobacterales; Enterobacteriaceae
Description: partial 23S ribosomal RNA
Rfam family: Bacterial large subunit ribosomal RNA
Source: RNAcentral